Ceratitis capitata (Mediterranean fruit fly) is the source of this 259-nucleotide long non-coding RNA. RefSeq lists it as uncharacterized. The transcript has 3 exons. NCBI's taxonomy places the organism in Eukaryota, Metazoa, Arthropoda, Insecta, Diptera, Tephritidae. The record is from RefSeq and is a predicted model, not a curated record.
GUUUGGCGUGCCCACUAGAGAAUGUGCCAGCACUCUUUGAUGAUCGCGAAUGCGUCGCCUAGUACUCUUCCCAUGGCUCCAUUGAGUCUUGCCUCGAAUGAUUCCCUACAAUUGAUAAUUCAGAAAUGUAUUUCAUAUACUACAUAGACCUGAGCUCAAUAUUGGCAUGAUCUAUGAAAAAUUCACUUUGCCUCAGUUCGCAGGAAUCUUGUGUAAUCACCGUUGGUAAGGUUAAACCCUGCGGGUUAUGCGCUCAAGA